Molecule: ribosomal RNA, 497 nt
Filed under: uncultured bacterium
Lineage: Bacteria
Description: partial 16S ribosomal RNA
Rfam family: Bacterial small subunit ribosomal RNA
Source: RNAcentral
GAUGAACGCUGGCGGCGUGCCUAAUACAUGCCAGUCGAGCGAACAGACGAGGAGCUUGCUCCUCUGACGUUAGCGGCGGACGGGUGAGUAACACGUGGAUAACCUACCUAUAAGACUGGGAUAACUUCGGGAAACCGGAGCUAAUACCGGAUAAUAUAUUGAACCGCAUGGUUCAAUAGUGAAAGUCGGUUUUGCUGUCACUUAUAGAUGGAUCCGCGCCGCAUUAGCUAGUUGGUAAGGUAACGGCUUACCAAGGCAACGAUGCGCAGCCGACCUGAGAGGGUGAUCGGCCACACUGGAACUGAGACACGGUCCAGACUCCUACGGGAGGCAGCAGUAGGGAAUCUUCCGCAAUGGGCGAAAGCCUGACGGAGCAACGCCGCGUGAGUGAUGAAGGUCUUCGGAUCGUAAAACUCUGUUAUUAGGGAAGAACAAAUGUGUAAGUAACUAUGCACGUCUUGACGGUACCUAAUCAGAAAGCCACGGCUAACUACGUG